Molecule: long non-coding RNA, 1110 nt
Organism: Lycium ferocissimum
Lineage: Eukaryota; Viridiplantae; Streptophyta; Magnoliopsida; Solanales; Solanaceae
Exons: 2
Source: RefSeq, a predicted model, not a curated record
ACAAGGGCAGACUCGGCCCACAUCGGCAAGUAAAGAAGGGGUAUAGCCUCUCCUUUCCUCAUUUCAAUACCAAACACCCCCUUACGCGUUUCUCUCCCUCACCAUGGAGAAAAACCCUAGCCGGCUCAUUGCGUUUUUCUCUCUCUUACAUCGUUUGCCGGAAAUAGCAACGGUUUGUGGGCCCUCAAGGCAUCCUAUGGACUCGGUGUGGAUGAAAAUGGCAAGAGAAUUAAUUGCUCUGCCAUUUCUCACCUAUUACCACCCGAAGACCACUCCAAACACGGUAUAAUUCGCCUCUCUCUUCACUUUUGCUGCAAAUCAAACAGUCAUUGACUGAAUUUUCUUAAUGGUUUUUGAUUGUUGUGAUUUUGAAUUCUCGAUUCUUCUUGGUUCAGGGAAGACCGAACGGAUCAACCCAUUUUUGGCCAAAUCUGGCCAUAGAUUUGUUUGUUUGCUUGAUUCCCUACCGUAGACGUGGUUUUGGAGAGAUGUAAUUCUAAGAAUUACAAGACUCCCACAUCGGGAAACCCUAGGUUUUGGGGAUUUUGGGGGUUCUAUACAAAGAACCCCAAUUCAUAGUUUACACAAGAUCGAAUAUACUACAUAUUCACACAAAACUUGAAAUACCUAGGGUUUUAGCAAUUUUUGCUUGAGACCUUUAAUUUUUCAAGUUAGUCCAAAUUUUAAAAGUUUUUUUUUUUGUUUCUUUGUUGUGUUUGAAAUUUUGAGCAUUGGAGGUUAAGGAAGCAAAGGUUUCUUCCAAGUCCAAUUCUCGAAUAUCGGCUGCACUCACAAAAGCCUGUUGCGUGUGAAACCUUGUGGGCCACUGCCUUCAGCUCGAAACCAAUUAGGCCUGAGGCCCAGUUCUUAUUCAUUCAAUCGAGUCUGAUGAAGAAUAAGGGAAGCUAAUAUAUUGAAGGCGCACCUAUAGGUGAAAAUAGGCAAUUGGUGGGCUUAGGUAGGCCCACCAGCCUAAACUCUUCUCUUUUUCUUUAUAUUCAUGUGUAAAGUAAUAUGUAAAGAUUUGUGUAAUAUUGAAACCCUUAUGAAUGUUAGAACUUAGGAAAAAACGCUUAAUAUUAUUAGGAAGUCGUCCAAAUGAUUUUCAAA